UUUUUAAUGUUAGACAUUCGGCUUUCCUUUUAUCUUCUCUUCCUCCUCUCUGACUGUUUCCUUUGUAUCUUCUUAAAUUGGUUUCUCAGAUCUUCAUCUCUUUCUUAGGUUCUCAUAAUUUGAUUUUCAGGGUCUCUAUAGAUCUAUAGAAGAUCGAAAUUUUGAUACAAGUUUUUAAAGAUUUCAUCAAGUUUUCUCUUCUCAGAUCCAGUUUUCCAAAUCGUUUCUCCGUUGAAUUUCUUAGUUUUUCUUCGAUUUAUAUUUCUUAGGAAACGAUUUUGGAUCGUUGUUUUCUUCUUCUUCUUUUUUUGGUUUUGCAGGUGAUUUUGAUGAUGGAGAGGAUUCUAUCAAUUGAGAUGAUGGACGGUUCUGUUCAUAUGUUUGUUUAUGAUUACUUGGUGGUUGGUGCAGAAGUUCGAUCUUGGUUCAGAUGAGAAAGCAGAGGUGAAUCGGUGAAUCGGUACGGUGUAUUAUCAGCAAUUUUUCAUUCAUGAUGAUGUAAAGAGAAGAUUCCAGGGCUUGCUGAUUUGUUGAUUGAUUGAUGAUAGAUUUGGUGAGGAUUUGAGGUUAAAAGAUGAGAUGUGAAAGAGAUCGAUGCAAAAUAUUGUGUGUCGGAUCUUCUUUGUCAUCCCGACCUUUGCCAUGUCAGGUGCGCUUGCUUGGCAGGUCAACCAAACCCUAAUAAAAAAAAAUUGAUUUGUGGUUUUAACAGGGGAGUUCGCACGGGGUCUUUUUUGCCCGGGUUCUCCCUUGUUGUUGUGUGUGGUGUCACUCUUAAAUUGCUUCUUGACUCAACGUGCUAUUGAUCAACAAUAACGAAUUGUUGAAUCCCACCGAUGAUGAAUCACAAGGAAUUUCACAGCAAAGCUGCAGUUUCAGAUCAAGGUACAUACAACAAAAUACCCGCACUUGAUUUGAUUCUCACUUUAAGAUUUCGUACUAUUAGAUCACACUUUAGGAAGGCAGUUAACCUGGUUUUCUUAGCUGUCAACAUGUUUUGAAAUUGUGAUGUUCAGGAGCUCAGUUAUUGUUAUUUUUCAAUCCUCAAAAUCUGUUUGAAUUGAAAUUAGUCAAGUACAAAACACACACUUUAAUCCUAAAGUGUACCAUACCAAUUUAAACUGCAAUAUUAUUUUUCGGCUCAGCAACUCGUGUACAAGUUCAUUACUAUCUCCCGAAGCUCGUCUGUUUCUUGCUCUAAUUUGUUUAAUGUUUUGUUCGUUUCUGUUUGAUGUUUGGUAUGCGUAUGUGUCUUGGAUAACAAACAUAUUCCUAUCUUUUGAAGGUUUCAAGUUCUGUGCACAAAAAAUUCCUAACAUUAGUUCCAUUGUUAAAAGAACGUUUGUGUAGGUUGUAAGUCAUAUGUUGAGUUAUUUUAUUGUGAAAAAUAUAAGUUCGCUGGUCAUCCUGAAACAAGUGAAGAAUUGAAGCCCCGUGGGUGAUUGAAUAUUGCGAAAUCUAUAUGUACUUUUGGUUGAUUCAUUGUCGAAGCUCAAAGCGUUUGUUGCUAAAGCUGUGUGGGUUCAGUUAUAUUCUGUUAGCUUCGAAUAAGAUGGUUUUUCAUUUGUUGUGGCAUAUUAUCUUCUGAGAGCAGGUUUGGAACUGGUAAAGGUUGUAAUGGUAUCAAAAGUUAUCGAUGUUGCACAGAUUAUCGGUAUGAAAAAAUGUUACACAGAUAAUAAUGUAUAAUGCUCUAUUAGAAGAUGGUUCGCAAAACUGUUUCAUAUAACUGCUUGAAGUUUGAGUGCUAAACUUUUGUAGUUGACUUUUAGAAACUGUGGAGUGUUCUUAUUUUGCUGGAACUGUGGAGUGUUCUUAUUUUGUAUCAAGAGAUCUGGAGUUUUGGCUGGUAGGCUUGUGUAGAUGAUAUCGAAACAAGGUUAAAUUUUAUGACGUGCUUAUGGUGAUUAACUGGAUUAUUUACUGAACUUUAUUUUGCUUUGAAGUUAAAUAUUAUUUAAGGUUCAUAUUAGAAAGGUUUUGCUUAUGUGUUUUUAUGAUAUGGCCAUUAUUGAUUUCCAAAAGCUUUGAUAGAAAAACCUUCGAAGCAACUCGAUGGAUCUUUAACAAAAUUUAAUUUCUUGGAUGGGUUUUGCAGUAGCUCUUUAACAAAAUUUAAUUUCUUGGAUGGGUUUUGCAGUAGCUCGUUUAUUAGCUUCCGAUUAUCUCAAUUUUAUGGGCUUACAUAAAAAAGAAAAAGUUAGUGCUAUCAGCCAAAUAUUGAACUAAUGGACUCGUCAGCUCAAAUGGUAAGAGCGCUCAACCUCUAAGGUUUGCAGAGGAUGAUGGUCGGAAUCCAUCCGUGUUCUGUGGCUCCGAGGUUUGGUCUGAUGUUGGCAGGAGCAGUCAAGACCAGAAAUAGUCGGGCAGGCAGGUAAUAAACAAAUAUCACUUGACCUUUCCCUGAAUUUAAUCAAACGGAAUUCUUGGAUGGAUUUUGCUGUAGCUUGUAGCUAAAUAUCAGAUGAUCAGCUCAAUUUUAUGGGCUUACAUAGUUGCGUGUAUCUCAGAUCUUAGGAUUAGAGGACAGUUUUUGUAGUAGCACAUUAUCAGAUCUUUGAAGCAAUUGUUGUUUGGA
Long non-coding RNA from Papaver somniferum (opium poppy), 2578 nucleotides. RefSeq lists it as uncharacterized. The transcript is spliced from 2 exons. Lineage: Eukaryota; Viridiplantae; Streptophyta; Magnoliopsida; Ranunculales; Papaveraceae. The record is from RefSeq and is a predicted model, not a curated record.